UCACUUAACCGGCAGGGGAAAUACCGUGAUCGUGAAGGUGGAUUUCCCAGGGUGAGGUUUAUCCGUUGCACAACAAAUGUGCUCACUUUGUGUCUUUGUGUUACCUUUUGGUCAUUCUUACAACAUUUCAAACCUUUUUCAUUAUUUUUAUGUC
Molecule: small nuclear RNA, 154 nt
Filed under: Aotus nancymaae (Ma's night monkey)
Lineage: Eukaryota; Metazoa; Chordata; Mammalia; Primates; Aotidae
Description: U1 spliceosomal RNA (ENSANAG00000019894.1)
Source: RNAcentral